GUGGUGUUGCUAGUUAUUUUAAUUGAGUGACACACAAGUGUGCACUUGAGGAACGAAUUAAGACCCGUAAACAAGGAUGAAAGCCCCCGCCCCGCAGACUUCAGCUCCUCCUCCAUGAAGGACGCCGCCUGGGAGGUGAGUCCAGGCCGGGCCAGGGAGGGCCUCCUGUGGGAAGGUGCAUUUUCACCUUACAGCCGGGAAGUAGACAGCUGCGUCACAGUUUCACUCAUGCCGGUCUCUUCCUGUGCACAUUCAAUGUUAACAUUAUUCUGGCAAAAGCCUUGCUGCAGAUAGUCUCUCCGGUCCCUCCUACAUCUCUUUCCAGAAGACAGUUUAAAAGGACACAUUUCAUCACCUCUCAGAAGGGGUUAACAUCACAGAAUUCCAAGUCUGAGGGUGGAGCCCUGAUCCUGAGAAGGUUUUGUUGAGUUCGGGACAGUAUUUCUUUACCCAUCCUUCAUGAAGAUAAAAAAUGAGGCAAAAUAGACACUAAAAUGGUCUCUGACAUCUCCUCAUGCCACCAGACAAGGAGUAACCAUGGUAACAAGAAGCCUAGAAAAAUUGGGGAAUGAGGAAGACCAGGAAUGAGAGCUCCCCUCAGCCCUGGGGGGACCUGAGUGUCCACAGCUGAGCCUUCUCUGCUUCCCUUUUCUCUUCUGGAUUCUGAUGGAGGAUAUUUUCAUCUUCCUCCCAAAAUCAUCAGAAAGCAUAAGGACAUAUAUAAACCGCUUUGCAAAAAGAGAGUGUAUGGAAUAAAAGAGAAAAUGAAGAAGAGGAGAAAGGCUGGAGUGCAAUGGUGUGAUCUCAGCUCACUGCAGCCUCAACCUCCCUGGCUCAGGUGAUUCUCCCACCUCAGCUUCCUGAUUAACUGGGAUUACAGUUGGAGUCUCACUCUGUAGCCCAAGCUGCAGUGCAGUGGUGCGAUCUUGGCUCACUGCAACUUUCACCUCUGGGGCUCAAGCGACUUUCCUGCCUCAGCCUCCCAAGUAGCUGAGACUACAGGUGCAUGCCACCACACCCAGUUCAUUGUUUUGUAUUUUUAGUAGAGACGGGAUUUCAUCAUGUUACCCUGGGUGGUCUGGAACUACUGAGCUCAG
This 1097-nucleotide long non-coding RNA is filed under the name Homo sapiens (human). Its description in RNAcentral is "PREDICTED lncRNA (TCONS_00029899)". Lineage: Eukaryota; Metazoa; Chordata; Mammalia; Primates; Hominidae. The record is from RNAcentral.